RNAcentral lists this ribosomal RNA (253 nucleotides) under uncultured bacterium. Its description in RNAcentral is "partial 16S ribosomal RNA". It matches the Rfam family "Bacterial small subunit ribosomal RNA", at positions 524 to 776 of the family's 1533-position model. The record is from RNAcentral.
UACGUAGGGGGCAAGCGUUGUCCGGAAUCAUUGGGCGUAAAGAGCGUGUAGGCGGUCCGAUAAGUCUGCUGUGAAAGUCCAGGGCUCAACCCUGGGAUGCCGGUGGAUACUGUCGGGCUAGAGUCCGGAAGAGGCGAGUGGAAUUCCUGGUGUAGCGGUGAAAUGCGCAGAUAUCAGGAGGAACACCAAUGGCGAAGGCAGCUCGCUGGGACGGUACUGACGCUGAGGCGCGAAAGCGUGGGGAGCGAACAGG